Molecule: ribosomal RNA, 483 nt
Filed under: uncultured bacterium
Lineage: Bacteria
Description: partial 16S ribosomal RNA
Rfam family: Bacterial small subunit ribosomal RNA
Source: RNAcentral
GACGGACGCUGGCGGCGUGCUUAACACAUGCAAGUCGAACGAUGAUCAGGAGCUUGCUCCUGUGAUUAGUGGCGAACGGGUGAGUAACACGUGAGUAACCUGCCCCUGACUCUGGGAUAAGCGUUGGAAACGACGUCUAAUACUGGAUACGACUGCCGGCCGCAUGGUCUGGUGGUGGAAAGAUUUUUUGGUUGGGGAUGGACUCGCGGCCUAUCAGCUUGUUGGUGAGGUAAUGGCUCACCAAGGCGACGACGGGUAGCCGGCCUGAGAGGGUGACCGGCCACACUGGGACUGAGACACGGCCCAGACUCCUACGGGAGGCAGCAGUGGGGAAUAUUGCACAAUGGGCGAAAGCCUGAUGCAGCAACGCCGCGUGAGGGAUGACGGCCUUCGGGUUGUAAACCUCUUUUAGUAGGGAAGAGGCGAAAGUGACGGUACCUGCAGAAAAAGCACCGGCUAACUACGUGCCAGCCGCCGCCGUAA